UGUCAAAUCAUCACGGCCCUUAUGUCUUGGGCUACACACGUGCUACAAUGGUUACUACAGUGGGAUGCCAUCUGGUGACAGAGAGCUAAUCCAUAAAGGUAAUCUUAGUUCGGAUCGGAGUCUGCAACUCGACUCUGUGAAGUUGGAAUCGCUAGUAAUCGUAUAUCAGCAAUGAUACGGUGAAUACGUUCCCGGGCCUU
Molecule: ribosomal RNA, 200 nt
Filed under: uncultured prokaryote
Description: partial 16S ribosomal RNA
Rfam family: Bacterial small subunit ribosomal RNA
Source: RNAcentral